This 3559-nucleotide long non-coding RNA is filed under the name Mus musculus (house mouse). Its description in RNAcentral is "long non-coding RNA chr3:65124796-65128355". The record is from RNAcentral. Lineage: Eukaryota; Metazoa; Chordata; Mammalia; Rodentia; Muridae.
GAUUCCCAACACCUAAGCUCAUUGUGGAGUGAGGUUUCAGAAAUAAUUUACACAGAUCACAGGCUCUUUACUAUAUGCUCUAAAGGCAGAAUCUCAGUGUGUUUUGCAUAAAAUGUCUCUGAAACCUCACAAUUGGGAUCUCAAUAUUCUGUGAAAGAUAAAUUUCCUUUGAGCUUGGAAGAAUUAGGGAUGGGGUAUCCUUUGGAUUCAAAUUAGCAUAAUUCACACACACACACACACACACACACACACACACAGUGUUAGCAGGUGCAGUGCUUUCAGUACCUGAGAUUUUAGCCCAGGAUUCAUUCUUGGCAUGCACUUUGCAAGAAUGGGAAGGAGAACUAGACUGAGAAUCCAGGCAUCAUUUCAAGAUGGGAAACCAGCCAAGCGGUACAAUGACAUAUGCUUCGUAGUACAGAGAUGAGUCUCCAGACUUAGCCAGGCAGAGACUACUGAUUUGAUUGCAGAACAGAAGUUAUUUUUAUGAAAAUAGGGAGCUUCUCGAAUUUGGACUUUUUUUUUAUCAUUUCAUUUUUGUUUUCUACUGCCACAGGAUCAGAAACUAUUUUCUUGGUAACAAAUCUCCCCUAACCGGUGCAUUUCUUUUCACAAAAGAUGAAUCGGUGUCUUCACUUAGAACAUGGGAGAAUGUUGAGUUUGUAGUGCAGAUUAGACCCUAAAGAGAAAAGUAAGACUCAGUGUUUGUUUUGAGCCCCUAUCUCAGCUCUGAGAAAGAGAAACCAAGGUGGCUCCAUUCAUCUCUGGGCCAAAGAAAAUGCAACUGUGUGAGUCCUGAAUACCAGGAAUUCCCAUCACAGUGCAGCAGGAGGCAGAGGACAGGCUAUGUUCUUGCUUUUAGAACUUCUUUUUCUACCUAUUCAUUAUUACUCCAAAUGGAGUAGGACUUCUGCAGAAGAGAAAGCCUCCAAAAGAGCAUCAUGUGCGUGAAUAUGGAUUCUUCACUACUAAGGCCAGUGGGUUCAAAAGAGCUGAUUCAUUAACAAACACUCCCUGGGCACCAGCUCUGUGCCAGGUACUGUUCUGGGUACUGAUGAUAAGGACAUGAAGAAAAACAGAGCCUUUGCCUUUGAAAGCUUAGAAAUUAGAAUAGGGAGAAAGAAAACCAAACAGAUAAGUGCUUAGCAUAUCAGGGGGCGUCACUUGUCAUGAAGACAAAUAGUGCAGAAGAAGGUCAGGCAAGGGGCGAGAUUUCAAGAGAAUGUACAGAAAUGUUUUAAACAUUUUUUUUUUUUUGCUUUUUGAGAUUUCACACAGGUAUUCAAUGAAUCUUGGUUGAAUCCCAACUUAUCCCUUCCAGUUAUUCCCAGAACUCCCCAAGUUUAUGGCAUUCUUUAAAAUCUUUUAAAUUUUCAUUAAUUUUAAUCAAAUAAAUCCAGUUAGUGUUUUCCAUGUACACAUGGGUGGAGGGUCUUCCAGCAGGGAAUAGGCAACCUUCCAGUGGCUACUAUCCAAAGAAAAUUGACACCCACUGCCCAAGUAUUCAUCAUAUGCUAAUAGCUCCUUAGCUACAGAUGUGACCUUGGUAGACCAUCUUCCAUCCAGGGUGGAAUUUUUAACUGGCUCGAUCAUGUGUAUGUCUUGUGAGGGACCCACUCCUGGAGUUAGUGCAUGUGUGCCACAGCCAUGUCAUGUCUGGAAGAUGGCCUUUCACAGCACCUUCACCAUCACCCUGUUCUUAUAAUCUUUCCACCCACUCUUCCAUGAUGGCCCCUGGGUCUUGGUAGGAGUUAGACUCAUACAAAUAUCUCAGUCUCUUAUUCUCAACUUUUGAGAAGUUAUUCAUCUUUGCCUUUACUGUUGCCCACUGCAAAAAGAAAUCUAUGGCCAAAGUUGAGAGACACCCCCAUCUGUAGGUAUAAGCACAGUUAUUUAGAAGGAAGUUUGAUGACAUGACUAUUUCACAAAACAAUGACAGUAGAUUCCUCCCUAGGGUCUAUGAGCUCCUUAAUCAUGAGUUUUAACUAUAUUAACAGUACCAGAUAUGAAUUCCAUCCUGUGGAGCAAGCCUCAGAUCUCAUCAAGAGAAUGAUUGUUUAUCCCUAUAAACAGUCUUGCUACAUUGCUCCAAUGAGCACAUCUUACCUCAUAGGUCAAUGUUAUAAUAUGUAGGGGCCAACACUAUAUAAGACCACUGAUGUCUUCUCUACUCCAGCACUCUGCCUAGUACCUUCCAGCACUAGGAAAGCUACCCAGCAAGGAGAGAGUUUCUUUAUCAAUUCAAGGUUGACUUCUCUGUGCCCUAUAACCAAAAUGUGUAAUGUUUAUAGCAACAGGAUCUUGCCAUCUACUAGGCAACCAAGAGCAAUAUCGAUAGCAUAUAUUGUUUUGGGUGCUUCUGGGGACUUCUUGACUAAUAAGUCAUAUGUAGGUAACCUGUGGUUAAUACUGAGAUUUUCAUAUAAUAACCCUUGUCUUCUGGAAGCAGCAUUGUUCAUGCACUCAGGAUAUCUCUAUUCAAAUGCCUUUUUAAAUGGUAUUAGCUUACAAACUCAUAGGUUUCUAUUAAGCUUCUUCAUAUAUCGUUAAUUUUGGUUAACCUUCCUCCCACUCCCUCCUUUCUCCUACCUCUCUGCCCCCACUCCAUCCCCAUCUAAUGUUUUAUCCCCUAGGCUUUCCCUGUUCUCUCAUAACACAUGUGUUCUAUUAUCCUCUCUUAUUAUAAUUUUUACUUGUGUUGUAAUAUCAUGGAUUUCCAUACAGUCUUUUUUAUAAACAUCUUGGUUAACCCUUCCCCUGUCCUCUUGUUUCUCCAUCCCCAUCAUCCCACUAGGCAGACCUUUCUGUCUCUAUUAUUAUUCUUCUAUACUUUCAUUUUACUUACAUCCUGCAAUUUCCAUUUCCCUUAAUGCUCCACCACCAAUGGCUCUAUUCUAGUUUGUUGGCAUUCACUUACACUCCAGGUAAAAACACACAAAAGAUUCUAAGCUAAAAUCUACAUAUGAGAAAGACCAUGUGGUGUUUGAAGUGGCUUGAACUGCAAGGAUGGGUGGAAGUGGUGAGAAAUAGCAGGCAAGUCCAUCAUGACAUUCAAUUUCCCUUACAAAUAGAGCUUCCAAUCUGUGGCUAUUCAUUAGAAUAGUUGGCUUUAGUUCUUGAGUGCCACUUAAACUUAUUAAUGCUGAGCAAGCCUUUCAUCAGUAAAAUGUAUGUGGUGGUAAAGUCUCUUUAAUGGGUUGCUAAGAGUAAAGCACUUAUUUUGACAUUUUUAAUUUAUUAAGUUAAAGUUAGAAAACAUCUUAUUGCCAGGCUAGGGAGAUUGUUUACUGCUUAAGCCCUGGCCAAGUAUGAUCCUUUAAAAUCUCACAUGGCUACCCAUCUGGAAUUCCAACUUCAAAGAACAAAGAUGGGGGUCCCCAGAGUAAGUUGGAUAGCCAGAUUAAUCAUAUUAGCUAGCUCCAGGUUUGACCAGGUCACCCUGCUUUAAUAAAAAAAGAUAGAAGAGUAGUUGAAGGUCAUUCCUAACAUCAACCUUUGGCUUCUAUAUGCAAGCACACACCAUGUGCACCUACCUAGAUGUGUAGCGAUACACACACAC